GAAAUAGGUUAAUCAAAAGAGAGCUUCUAACUCAUCUUUUUAAUAGUGUAAAUCUAUUAAUAUUUCU
Molecule: transfer RNA, 67 nt
Filed under: Histeroidea sp. 5 KM-2017
Lineage: Eukaryota; Metazoa; Arthropoda; Insecta; Coleoptera
Description: tRNA-Ser
Source: RNAcentral